RNA transcript from Helianthus annuus (common sunflower), 1432 nucleotides. RefSeq lists it as uncharacterized. The record is from RefSeq and is a predicted model, not a curated record. Lineage: Eukaryota; Viridiplantae; Streptophyta; Magnoliopsida; Asterales; Asteraceae. The transcript has 3 exons.
UCACCAUUUUGAAUCCCCUGCUCCUUUCCACCAUUAAAAUUCAGACCUCUGUCUCUCUUUUCUCUAGAGCCUAUCUCUCUUUCUAGAUCUUUCAAGAUCCGGCAGUGGUUCGACGGUGAGUGGUGUGAUGGUGUUCGGGGAAGACGGUGGGGGGAGUGUAAUGGUGUUUUCAUGGUGACGGUGGUCGACGGCGGUUGGAAUACAACGGCAACAAACGAACGGCGACAGUGGGCUUCACGGUAAACAGCGACAACAACGAACGGCAGCGGUGGGCUUCACGGUAAAACAACCGUUAAUCCGGCAAGAAGUAUUGACACCGACAACAACGAACGGCGGUCGGGCCGAUUUUUCCGGCAAGAAGUUUGACACCAGCGGUGGUGUUCCAGCUCCGGCAGCCGGCGGAGCAAGCAUCUUUUCACUCCGAUGUUACAGAAGACAGUAGCAAUUCCCGAAGCUAAAGGGUCAGUUUCUACAGUUAGUUUUUGUUUAGUAGAAUCAGUGCAUUUUUGCUUUUAGGGAUUUAUUUGUUUUAUAUAAAUUUUCUUUACGCGUGUUUGACAAGGAUCAAAAUGGAUUAAUUUCUGCAUCCGAGCUUCGCCAUGUUAUGACUAAUCUUGGUGAGAAGCUGACCGACGAGGAAGUUGAUGAAACGAUCCGUGAGGCUGAUGUCGACGGUGAUGGUCAGAUCAACUACGAGGAAUUCGUGAAGGUCAUGAUGGCGAAGUGAGAACCUUUAACAUCAAACCCAUCUUUUAUUUUAGUUGUCGGGAUCGUUCAAAAACUCUAUCCGUUUUCCGUUAAAUGGGGGCAUAAAAAAUGGGGAAACGUGACGUAAUUUUUUUUGUUUUUUGUAAACAGGUUUAAACCCGUAAAAAAGUAGUUUUUUUUAAAAUUGUUUUUGUAAAAAAUCUAUUUUUUAAAAAAGUUUUACGUAAAACGUAAAACGUAAAAAAAUUAAAAAAAAAUCUGUUUGCAGCGACGAUCGUGGUGGUUUUUGUUGUAUUUUAGUUUUGCUCAGUCGGUUCAAAGAUUCGAGAUGUGUUUGGCUCGGAUUUGAGUUAUGUUCGGGAACCGAGUCUCAUUUUGGGUCGGCUCAAAAAAGUAGUUCAGAUUACAGGGUCUGGCCGACAAGCAGUGACGUUACACUCCGGGUCAGCCGUGGGUCGAGUUUCGGGUCAGUGGGUGCAGGUUUGGUUCCACCCGGUUCGGAAGCAUCAGGUCGACGGCUCAGUCAAACCGGGUUAGAUUUAGAGUUGUUCGGGUAAAGCUUCGGCUCGGUCUCGAUUCUGGUCUGGCAGUUCGGUAGCGAGUUAUUAUUACGUUAGUUAAGAUUUUAUUUAGUUAACGCGCACCGAGCUCGAACCGAUACUUUAGUGACUUGUUACGUUUGGCAUUUUGAUAGAAAUUUUAUAUAUUGUGUUUAUAUUGUUGA